ACGUGCUUGAUAUUCAUAACUGAACCGAAGGAGCUCAGGGAGUCAGCGAGGUCGAGGCAGGAUAAGGGAGAUAGUAAAUGAAACCAGGAGAACUUCUAAUCUCCUCUCUCUCCACCUUCCAGCUGGAUCCCACUCCCUGGGCGUCUUCUAUCUGUCUCAGCUCACUCACUUUGAGAGGUGAUCGCUCAGCGUGGACCCGUCUGACUGACUGCCUGAUCGCCGGAUGAAG
Molecule: long non-coding RNA, 229 nt
Filed under: Betta splendens (Siamese fighting fish)
Lineage: Eukaryota; Metazoa; Chordata; Actinopteri; Anabantiformes; Osphronemidae
Description: lncRNA (ENSBSLG00000015732.1)
Source: RNAcentral